This 305-nucleotide ribosomal RNA is filed under the name uncultured bacterium. Its description in RNAcentral is "bacterial SSU rRNA". It matches the Rfam family "Bacterial small subunit ribosomal RNA", at positions 334 to 655 of the family's 1533-position model. The record is from RNAcentral.
UAUCCCUACGGGGGGCAGCAGUGGGGAAUAUUGCACAAUGGGGGAAACCCUGAUGCAGCGACGCCGCGUGAGUGAAGAAGUAUUUCGGUAUGUAAAGCUCUAUCAGCAGGGAAGAAAAAAGACGGUACCUGACUAAGAAGCCCCGGCUAACUACGUGCCAGCAGCCGCGGUAAUACGUAGGGGGCAAGCGUUAUCCGGAUUUACUGGGUGUAAAGGGAGCGUAGACGGCGGCGCAAGUCUGGAGUGAAAUGCCGGGGCUCAACCCCGGAACUGCUUUGGAAACUGUGCAGCUAGAGUGCGGGAGG